RNAcentral lists this long non-coding RNA (41115 nucleotides) under Sorghum bicolor (sorghum). RNAcentral describes it as "long non-coding RNA (SBIC_LNC006420)". Lineage: Eukaryota; Viridiplantae; Streptophyta; Magnoliopsida; Poales; Poaceae. The record is from RNAcentral.
ACCAACUUAAGUCACCGCUUUUGACCAAGAAGGACGAUCUAGGAAUGCCAAGCAUUUACUGCUCCAUAAAUGGAUACAACUUCUACAAGACGACUUGUGACACCGGAUCGGGCGUCAACAUAAUGGCCGCAGUCACCUAUCGGCUCUUGUUCGGAACCAUGCCACUAAGACCAACAUACAUUCAGCUCCAGAUGGCAGAUCAGACAUUUCGAGAAGUCAAAGGAAUAGUAACUGAUGUCCCAGUCAAAAUAGACGAUCACUUUGUCUACACAGACUUUCAAGUUAUUGACAUGGGAGAAGACAAAUACGAUCCACCCAUCAUCCUUGGAAGACCGUUCCUCAGCACCGUUAAAGCAAUUAUCUACAUUGGAACCGGAGAAGUCCAUAUGCACUUCCCCUUAGAGAAGGUACGCCGUUAUUUUACUGACCCUAACUAUAUCAUUGAAGAAUCUAAGCAGGUAAGAAAGCGACGCAACCGCAACCAGAGGAGGCAGAUCAUCAAGUACGGAUGGGCAGACUAUGAAGGAGAAGUUGUAAGGUCAGAAGACGUAGAGUUUAAAUAGAAUUAUCCAGAGGAGAUUGAAGCACCGAGUCAGGUAUGGAAAAUGAAGAUAACUAUACAAGAAGAGGAGGCGCUGCCGGAAGUACCGACUACGCCACCCAAUGAACCUCAGGACGAUUAAGAAAAUGGAGAGUCCCGUUCGGAGGACUUAAGAACACCGAACGCCUUGCCAAGAGGUAAACUUGGUAGUUAUCCUUUCCCUUUCAAUUAUUUCAAUUAUUUUACUUAGUUAAUCAUAUUCGUAUUAUCCUAGAAAGAAAAUAAAAAUAUAAAAAAACAGGGAGUAAUAUUUAUUAAGGAGUCUCAACAUGAUAAAGGCUAGAUAUUUAUGCUAACACUUAAUCAAGUUCCACAAGCUUUGUUGUCUAUUUGAGCUCCACAGGAUUCAAGAAUCAAGAAGACUAGCAGACGGAGGACAUUCUAAUCGCUGUCAGAAUGCUGCUGACUUUCAAAUACACCUCUACCACCUGCUAGCUACAUCAAGAGAAAUUACGUCAAAAUUCAGCUUGGGGGAGAGCACCCCCAUUUACCUCGAUAAGUAUUUCUAUCUAUCUUUAUACUUAUAUUAUUUUAGAAUAUAAAUACACAUAAACUAUGGAAAACCAAAUAAAGAUUUUAUGCUUAUAUAUAUAUAUGUCUUUUGCGCAGUGUGUUUAAUAAAUAAAUAAAGUAGCUAUGCUAAUCUGUAUCUAAAUAAAACUUAAGCAUGGAUAUGAUGAAUAGUUACUCUACCUAAUUUGCACAUUUUAAGUUCUCUCUCAAGUUUAGAUAUAACUGUUAUAAUUUAAAGUUUGCUCUAGACCUAAACUUGUGGGAUGAAAACUUGAUCUGAAGUCUAAGUUGUUAACGGAUAUGAUAUGGGAAGGUUGAGCUGCUAUUUAUCUGUUCCUAGAUAUGCUAGAAUUCUGGAGAAUUUUAUCUUUGAAAAUCUUUAAAAUGUUGCAUGAUGAGUUCCUAUGUGAUGAGAGUUUAAAUUCCUACCACAGCCAUAUAUACAUGCUUGCUAGACUUUGAGCCACACAUUUAAUAUUUACUACUUAUGAGCAUUGAGUGUGGUCAAGCUGUGUAGACCCUUAGGAGCUUGUCAUGUGGUUAAAUCAAGAUUUCACUUGCACGUUCACUCAUAUAUGCUACUUCUACUCCGGAAGUACCAUCCACAUAUAUCUAUUCAUUUCCAUCUCCAGAAUCACCCAAAAAUAUUCUACUCCUAAUCCGGGAGAGAAUAACCAAAAAUAUUUCUGUUUUCCCCUUGUGAAAUAAAUGCUCAAGUUAUCUUGUUACUACCACUUGCUAUAUUAUCUCAAGAGAUGAAUGCUCUAAAAAAAAGAAAAAAAAAAGAUACGAGGAAAUAAAAAGGAGCAAGUGCUCGGAACCUCGAAAGAAAAGAAAAAGUGAGACGAGAGGUAAAAAUGGACAAGUGUCCGACAGUAGAAUUAGGGGUACAAGAUACCCACCUGAGAGGAAAGAAAAAGAAGAGCAUCUCAUUCUCCUCAUAAAGUUUCAAAAAGCAAGGAAGGUAUGUAUCCCCUCAAAGAGCAAAGUAGAAUUAGACUUCCACCACCAUUGUUUUCACCAUUGCUAUCACCAUCAUCACCAUACACCAUUCAUUCGCCACACAUGCACAUCUUGAUUUGACUUAUUGAUUUGUUUCUUUGGAUCCAUGGUUUGACUAUGAAAUAAAUGUCUUGUAAGUAUGUAUAUUUUAUCUCCCACCUAUGAGCUCCAGAUAUUAAAGCCUUAUUAGAGUAGGGUGAGAGAGAAGGCAAUGUCACUAUGCCUCAUACCACAAAUACUACAUAUCUUGAGAGAAGGCAUAUACCAUCACUGCCUUGGUAAGGAUCCAAAAAUACCACAAAAGAGAGACCUGAGAGAAUCAUACAAGGAAUCUCUGAGUUUUAUUUGAAAAUCUGCAAAAAACUCUAGAGCUAUAGCUGAUCAAGAAUAAGAGACAUGGCACUUGGCUAGACUGUUCUAUCUUUUAACCACUCAAGACAGAAGUGACGGUUACAAGUCCCAUGGUGAAGGUAAAAUAAGUAAGUUUUAAGUCUUGACAGUUUACUCUAACUCAGAGAUGAGAUCUUAUUUAAAAGCAUGUGUACCGUCAAAUUUUUCAAAAUAUUGCAACUACUUAUGAUCCAUAGCUGAGUCUAUCCUUGCUCAGGGACGAGCAAGAGGUAUGCUUGGGGGAGUUUGUUGACGGUCCUUAAGUAUCAAAUUUAAUUAUCAAAUAAAUAAAGAAAAGGAUCCAAAUGAAAUCAACAUCUAGACUUAGGGUUUUAUCUGACAGAAUUCCACGAGUUUUGGUAUUUGUCUAUUUCUGCAGGGGGUUAUCAGGAAAUACGGAAGAAAGGCCCACACGUCGGGAUUACAUAGAGAUAUUAAUGUGCCGCGCAAUUAUCUUACAUCUAGAAGACUCCAGAAGCCACGAGACCAAAGUGGAGGCGAAACGGGGCCAGAGGCAGGGCGCCCGCCCUCCUGCCUUGGGUGCCCGCCCCCUCCCUGAGUCCAAUCAGGACUCUGCUUCGUCGGAGAUCUCCACCGACCUAAAGGAUGAAUCUAAACCAUACAAUCUAUGUCGGUUUGAUCCAACGGCCCAUAUUCACUUGAAGGGACUAUAAAACCAGACCCCCUGGCCCCUGGAGGAGAGAGCCUCUCAACCCUAAUUCAUUGUUCCAUCAAGGGAGAAGAAGCCUCUGAUCAAGAUUAGAGCCACCACAUCAAUUAGACAUCUAGAUUAGCAUAGCUACAUAGGAUUAGAACUAGAAGGAGUCAAUCUUCGAUUGGUUUCCGGAUCUGUCAAGAGGAUUCUUGGUAAUUCUCUAAUUGUGCUUCUAAUUACUUUCUAAUUAUCUUUGUUCUUCAAUAUUAUGAAUAUGACUUUGUUCUACUUCAAUAUAUUGCUUAUGACUUUGCUCUACUUGCUUAUAUUCAAGAUUAUAUUGUUCUUAGUUUAUCAUAGUUAUGUACUUGGCUUAGUUAGAUUCGAUCUAUAUACAUGCUUAGGAUCGUAUAGCGUUUAUCCAUCGGAUCCAUGGGUAAAUGAUAGAUAUUGUGUAGGCGUGGUGCUUAUACCGUAUUUAUCUGCGAUUGUACCCAAUAUGCCAGAUCGUGGGGUGGUUCGUGAUAGUGACAGCUUCAUUGAUUCUUAUAUAGUCCCCCUCUCGUGUAUUGGGCUGGGAGAGCAACAUUAUUACAGGGGAGUGAUUGCUAUGUUUCUCACAUUCCUUGCUAAUAUCACUAUGCAUGGGCGUAGUCUUGUCUCACAAUGAUUGCUAAGUAUGCUUGCACUAACUAUGAUAAUGCUAGACUAUAUAGUUGAGAAUAACUUAGGGAAUAUUCUUGUAGUUCGUUCUAAUACCAUGCUAAUGACUUUCUAGAGUAUCUAAUUGAGGUGCUUAUCAUAUUUAUUAUGUGGCUAGAUCAGAUUAGUUAUCCUUGUCACUAUUAUUAUUUUAUAUAUCUUUUAUGUGACACUUAUCCCUGUAUGAAGAGUUAGAUAUAAUGUUCUCAAUUAUACAUGCAAUGAUAGAUGCUCAAUCUCAUAUUCUAUUCUGUAAUCAAUAGUGAUGAUUGCUAAUCCCUUCCUAGUGGUAAAAAUAUAAAUAACAAUACCUGGAAUACUUCCCUAUUAAAAUGUUGCAUCGGUAUUAAUCUGUGCGCUUGCAGAUCCCAUUCAUUAUUUAUUUAGAAGAGCAAUUGCAUAUUUCAAUACCGCGUCUCUCAUGUCAUGCUGGGGAUGACAACUUGGCUUAAGUGGUGUGAGGGAUAGGUUUGGCAUUUUUGGCACCGUUACUAGAUUUACAGAACUUAGUCUACUUUUGGUGAUGAUGUUAAGAAUACCCAACAAACACACAACACGCAAGACAACACUCAUACGCAGCAGAACUUCCAUACUCCACCUCAUUCCAUACCACACUUGUAUUCACCCAUGUACAAGCACUUAGGUGCAAGAUAAUACAAACUCCCCUCCCUCGCUGGACGUAGGGCCUUCUCUUGCCUGAACCAGGAUAAAUCUUUGUGUCUUCUUGCAUCACAAUCUAGGAAAGGGAAGCACGCAUACAAAUUCACUCAUUGGUGUGACCCCCCGUGGGGAAAACACCGACAGUUGGCGCACCAGGUAGGGGUCCUGCAUGUUUUUCAUCGAUUUCCCACUCCUUUCUGGAUGGCCACCCUCGCUUCGCCGAUUCCGCGCUCCACGGUGAUUUGGUUUGGGAGUCUCGAGUUCAUGUCGACUGGCUCCGGCUAUGACAUGAUCUUGCUCUCGAUUAAAGGACCGGGAGGAGCCCGCGUUGCGCCAGCACGGUUGAGGGCCCCAAGACGCCCUCGACACCACGCCUCCCCACCCAAGAAGGGGCGUGGACAGCACCAUCGUCACCCCUCUGCCUCGUCACGACCGGCAGUUCGCGCUAGGCAGGGGGUGAGACAGGAGCCGGCAGCGCCGCGUGCCGGAACCGUGGGCAUGCCGGCCCAGCAUCACACGACGACAAGAGGUGACGCGCCCCGCGCGCCCUCCCCUACCGCUAGGCUACUUCCGCAUGGGCUGUUCGCCUCAAGAAGAGCCUUGCCGUUCGGCCUGGACAAUGCCGCGGUGUCACUCGCCAGGGCGAUAUGCCCAAACACCCAGACGUACGUGGAGAGACCAAUGGUCCUCCCAUGCGGCCCUAGAGCGCUGCGACCGACGUCCGAACUGCCGGACUUCUCCCAAGUAUGAGGCCUCUGCCGCUUAGGCCCCGGGCGGUACACGAUUACCUCCCUCAGACAGCGUUUGCUGGAGGAAGGACGUGGAUGUUUCUACGCAGCCGAGCCGGACUCUGACUCGGAAUCCGACAGCCACGACCCUACUAGGGAGUGCUUCCAUAUCGACGGUGCGGUGGAAACCACCGACGAGACACAAGACGCCGCCGCAGGCAGGCGAGCCCCUGCAGCGAGGGAAGACCCCAGGACGCCUGGGAAUGAUGGUCAAGUCAACCCCCCACCGCAAGAAGACAGAGCCGCACAAAUUGCGCAACUACGAGAGCUCAAGGCAAAACUUGACGAGGAUCGUGAGUGUCUUGUCUUGCUCGAGCAGAUCCUCGAGCAGGACAUGCCUUACCCGCCUGGUGGAAGUGUCCGCAGGUGAGCUCGAGAGGUGCACCGACAGAUCAUUAGAGACGCAGAGCCAGAGCAGCCCAUCAGCCGUUUCCCUCGAGCAGGCCAGAACGUCGUGGCAGCGACAAUGCUGCUGCGAAACAUGCCGGAGCCGUCAAACUCCCAAGCUCGACACAUUCGAGACGAGGUGCAGACGCUACUCCAGGUGGCGGCAGUUCAACAGGCCGAAAGCUCGGCUUCUCGACGUCGAGGAGCAGCCACUGAAAAGUGCGAUGAGCCACCCCAAAACGAAAAGGAGGUGUUAGUCCAUCAGCAGCCACCCCCUCGAGGAAGAAAGACCACGCUCGUUCUCCACGUCGACAAUCAGUGUCGACACAACGCACGACGCGACAUUGAAGAGAAUCGACGCCGUCGGCAUUGGGACGCGGAAGAGCGCAGGUAUAGCGCGCAUCGCGGUGGGAGGUACGACAGAGAUGAGGACCGGAUGGCCGCCGAGCCACCAGGGCCACGGGUGUUCAGCAGGGCAAUCCGCAGCACGCCACUGCCCAGUCCGUUCCGACCCCCGACCAGCAUCGCGAAGUACAACGGUGAAACCAAACCAGAGUUGUGGCUAGCCGAUUUCAGGCUGGCCUGUCAGCUGGGAGGCGCUCGAGGGGAUGAUCGAGCCAUCAUCAGACAGCUACGGCUUUUUCUCUCCGACACCGCCCGUCGGUGGCUUGAGGAACUUCCAGCUGAUCAGUUCCACGACUGGGUCGAUUUGGUUAGAGUCUUCGAGGGUUAUUUCAAAGGGACCUACAUACGGCCUGGGAACUUGUGGCACCUCAGCAAAUGCAAGCAGAAGUCAGGAGAAACUCUUUGAGAGUACGCUCGAUGCUUCUCGAAACAGCGCACCGAGCUACCGCAUAUCCCCGACCACGACGUCAUCCUGGCCUUUGUCUCUGGUACCACCAGUCGAGACUUGGUGCGGGAAUUGGGCCGGAAUCGCCCUCAGACCGUCGAUGAGCUGAUGGAUGUAGUGGCAAACUACGCCGCAGGGGAGGAAGCGGUCGGCGCCUUCUUCAGCUGUGAAGAAAGGAAAGGCAAGCAGCCCACCGAUGAAGAUCAGACCCCCAGUCGAGGGCCCAAGAAGAACAACAAGAAGCAGAAAGCGCGGCAGUUCAAGCGGGAAGAUUUCGACGACGAUCUCGUCGCCACCAUGGAACGCAAGAGGCCUGGAGGCCCCCCGGAUGGAGGCAUCUUCGAUAAGAUGCUAGAGGAGCCAUGCCCUUACCAUAAGGGAGGAGCCAACCACAAGCUCAAGGACUGUCCUAUGCUGAAAAAGCAUUUCGACAGUCUGGGGUUAAAAAGGACGCACGCGACGACCCAAAAAAGGAGAAGGGUGGCAACAAGGAGGACAACAAAGACGACGACGGCUUCCCAGCCGUCCACGACUGCUACAUGAUCUAUGGUGGGCCCUCGACACAGUUGACCACAAGGCAGCGCAAGAGGGAAUGCCGAGAGGUCUUCGCAGCAAGAAUGGCGAUGCCCCAGUACCUCAGCUGGUCGAGCACCCCCAUCACCUUCAAUCGAGAGGACCACCCAGACAAGGUAGUCGCCCCAGGCGUCUACCCGCUUGUUGUCGACCCCAUCAUCGUCAGCACCUGACUUUCAAAGGUGCUGAUGGACGGCUGCAGCAGCCUCAACAUCAUCUACCUCGAGACCCUCGACCUCCUCGGCAUCAACAGGGGGUGGCUCCAACCAAGCGCCGGUGGUUUCCAUGGCAUCGUGCUAGGGAAGAAGGCGCUGCCGGUGGGUCGAAUCGACCUACCGGUCUGCUUUGGCACGGCGGCCAACUUCAGAAAGGAGACCCUCACCUUUGAGGUGAUUAGGUUCCGGGGCACAUACCACGCCAUCAUCGGCGCCCGGGCUACGCCAAAUUCAUGGCUAUACCCAACUACACCUACUUGAAGCUGAAGAUGCCCGGUCCCAAAGGCGUCAUAACCGUCAGCUCCUCCUUCGAGCAAGCUUACGAAUGCGACAUCGAGUGCGUCGAGUAUGGGGAGGCGGUCGAGAAUUCCACCGAGAUCGUCGCGAAGCUCGAGGCCCUGGCCGCUGAGGCUCCAGAGCCCAAGCGCCACGCUAGCAGCUUCGAGCCAGCAGAAGGAACCAAGAAGAUCCCGCUCGACCCUAACAACUCCAACGGCAAGGUGCUGACGAUCAGCGUCGACCUCGACCCCAAAUAGGAAGCUGUGCUCGUCGACUUUCUCCGUGCAAACGCCGACAUGUUUCCAUGGAGUCCCUCGGACAUGCCAGGCAUACCGAGGGAAGUCACCGAGCACUCCUUGGAAAUUCGAGCCGGUUCCAAGCCAGUGAAGCAACGGUUGCGCCGAUUUGAUGAGGAGAAGCGCAAGAUCAUUGGCGAGGAGAUCCACAAGCUUUUGACGGCUGGAUUCAACAAGGAGGUUCAUCAUCUCGACUGGUUAGCAAACCCUGUACUAGUUAAGAAAAAGAAUGGGAAAAUGAGGAUGUGUGUCGAUUAUACGAGUUUAAAUAAAGCAUGUCCGAAAGUUCCCUUUCCAUUACCACGUAUUGAUCAAAUUGUUGAUUCCACUGCGGGAUGUGAAACCCUUUCUUUCCUUGAUGCAUAUUCUGGUUACCAUCAAAUAAAAAUGAAAGAGUCCGACCAGCUCGCGACGUCUUUCAUCACACCUUUUGGGAUGUAUUGUUAUGUAACCAUGCCGUUUGGGCUUCGAAACGAGGGAGCCACGUAUCAACGCUGCAUGCUCCACGUGUUUGGCAAGCACAUAGGGUCGACAGUCGAGGCCUAUGUCGACGACAUUGUCAUCAAGUCAAAGCGGCGGGGAGACCUGAUCCAGGACCUCGAGAUUGCUUUCAGCUGCUUACGCGCCAACCAGCUCAAACUCAACCCUGAGAAAUGCGUUUUCGGCGUACCUCGAGGCAUGCUCCUUGGAUACAUCAUUUCCCAGCGCAGCAUCGAGGCCAACCCCGAGAAGGUCUCGGCCAUCACAAGAAUGGGGCCGAUCUGAGACAUCAAGAGUGUGCAGAGAGUCACGGGAUGCUUAGCGGCGCUGAGUCAUUUCAUCUCGAGGUUAGGAGAAAAGGCGUUGCCGUUGUAUCGACUCCUGAAGAAAGUCGAGCGUUUCUCUUGGAACCCUAAGGCCGAGGAAGCCCUUAAAAACCUGAAGAAAACACUGACUUCAGCACCGGUCCUGGUCCCACCUCAACCUGCAGAACCACUGCUCCUUUACGUUGCCUCGACGACUUAGGUCAUCAGUGCAGCUGUAGUUGUCGAGAGGCAGGAGGAGGGGCAUAUGUUGCCAGUCCAGAGGCCGGUCUAUUUUGUCAGUGAAGUGCUCUCGGAGACCAAGGCGCGUUACCCCCAAAUCCAGAAGCUAAUCUACGUCGUAAUCCUCGCCCGACGCAAGCUGCAGCACUACUUCCUCAGUCACCAUAUCACGGUGGUCUCGUCCUUCCCCCUGGGCGAGAUAAUCCAAAGUAGGGAGGCCACAGGAAGAAUAGCCAAAUGGUCAGUCGAGCUCAUGAGUGAGACUCUCACUUAUGCGCCCCAUAAGGCUAUCAAGUCACAAGCCCGGGUGGAUUUCGUCACGGAAUGGACAGACUCCCAGCUCCCCCCGACUCAGGUUCAGUCGGAGGUGUGGACGAUGUAUUUCGACGGGUCUCUCAUGAAGACGGGAGCUGGGGCUGGCCUGCUGUUCAUUUCGCCCCUGGGCGUUCAUAUGAGGUAUGUCAUCAGGAUUCACUUUGCCGCAUCCAACAAUGUCGCGGAGUACGAGGCCCUCGUCAACGGUCUCAAGAUCACCAUCGAGCUAGGAGUCCGAGGCGACUCCCAACUCGUCAUCGACCAAGUAAUGAAGACCUCAAGCUGCCACGACCCGAAAAUGGAGGCGUACUGCAAGGAAGUCCAUCGACUCGAGGACAAAUUCCAUGGCCUCGAGCUCGUCCACAUCGCCUGACGCUACAACGAGGCAGCCGACGAACUCGCCAAGAUCGCGUGCACCCUAGGCACGGUACCACCUGACGUGUUCUCGAGAGAUCUUCAUGAGCCGUUCGUCGACUUGGGCUCGGGGGCUGACGUCGAUGCCGCUCCUGCCCAGCAAACCGACACCAUCGACGCACUCCUGAUGGCAGCUGAGGUAAUGGAGGUGGAACAGCGGCCCGGUCGACCGUUCGACUGGCGCACGCCGUUCCUUGACUGCCUAAUCCGCUGCGAGCUGCUAGAAGAUCGAUCCGAGGCCCGCCGUAUCGCUUGACGGGCCAAGUCAUACGUGAUCUAUGGCGAGGACAAUGAGCUAUAUCGACGAAGCCCGACGGGGGUCUUGCAGCGUUGCAUCACCGUGGAAGAAGGCCGGAAACUCCUCGAGGACCUACACUCGGGGGCUUGUGGCCACCAUGCUGCUCCACGGACCCUCGUAGGGAAUGCCUUCCGACAAGGCUUCUACUGGCCAACGGCCGUAGCUGAUGCCAUCGAGCUCGUACACUCAUGCCAUGGGUGCCAGUUCUACGCCAAACAGACGCAUCUGCCCACCCACGCUCUUCAGAUGAUCCCCAUCACAUGGCCGUUUGCGGUGUGGGGGCUUGACUUAGUAGGGCCUCUACAAAAGGCAAAAGGGGGGUACACCCACUUGCUGGUGGCUAUCGACAAGUUCUCCAAAUGGAUCGAGGCUCAACCCAUCACCAACAUCCGCUCCGAAAAAGCCGUCCUUUUCUUCACCGACAUCAUCCACCAAUUUGGGAUUCCCAAUGUCAUCAUCACUGACAACGGCACUUAGUUCACCGGCAAAAUGUUCCUGAACUUCUGCGAUCAGCAUCACAUCUAUGUGAACUGGUCUGCAGUUGCCCACCCUCGAACUAACGGCCAGGUCGAGCGUGCCAACGGCAUGAUUUUACAAGGGCUCAAACCAAGGAUCUACAAUCGCUUGAAGAAGUUCGGCAAGAAGUGGGUCGAGGAGCUCUCCUCGGUCCUAUGGAGCCUAAGGACUACGCCAAGCAGAGCAACAAAGUACACCCCAUUCUUCAGGGUCUACGGCUCUGAGGCUGUGCUCCCGACAGACCUUGGGUACGGGUCCCCUCGACUCAAAGCAUACAACGAGCAAUCAAAUAAAGAGACUCGAGAAAACGCGGUCGACCAACUCGAGGAAGCUCGAGACAUGGCUCUCAUCAACUCUGCCAGAUACCAGCAGAAACUUCGAUGCUACCAUGACAAGCACGUGCGCAAGAGGGACUUGAACGUAGGCGACCUCGUUCUACGACGGCGACAAAGCAAUCAAGGACGCCACAAGCUGACUCCACCUUGGGAGGGCCCAUACGUGGUGGCUGAGGUCUUGAAGCUGGGGACAUACAAGCUCGCGGAUGAAAAGGGGGCGAUCUUCACCAACGCGUGGAACAUCGAACAGCUACGUCGAUUCUACCCCUAGAAUUUCAAAGCUUUAUGUUCCUGCGUACAUUCUGUACCAAGGCCUUGUAAAUCAAUGCAUGAAUAAAUAAAGUCUUUCCCUCGAGCGACUUACCUUUUCACAAGUCUCAACGUUAGAAGGGAGUAUCGACUAUGACCCAUCAUAGUCGAUACCCCCUCGGGGGCUAGCAAGGGGGGCGACCCCCCCACCCAAGUGUCGAAAAAAUCAAGUAAUCCUUUCGUUCCUAUCGGUAAUCUCGUACGGUUGAGUAGUAAAGGUACCUCGAGCCCCUUAAGGGCCGAGAAACAACGAGCCGGAGAACUCCUACGCCCCCGGGCUACGGAAACUCUACUCGCCUCCUCACCCUUGAGGCAAUCGAGACCGCCUUAAACAAAAGACCAAACGAGAAAAAAAAACAUAGGUGCAAAGGGAAAUAAAGGGGCCUCGAGAGGAAAGAUAGAUAAACGUUUAACAACCACUUAAAAGAUAUUACUUAAGUACAAGUUAACAUAGUACUAUACGGAGGGCCCAAGCACCCAAAGCAGGCUCGCAGGCCUUAGUCCGCGUCACGGUCCUCACCACCCUCACCUGCGCCUGAGCUAGUCUCAGGGGGAAGUACCUCGGGCUCGAACAGCUUAGCCAACCUUUCCCCAGGAACCUCUGCGUCGUCGAUCAAGGCGUGGAGCCUUUCUUCGUUCUCCACGUCGGUCUUGAAGAUGUCGGUGACGAAGCCGUGAGACACCACCUCCAUGUCGUAGGAGAGGCCUGAGCAGACAACCGCCAUUGCCCGCUUCACCCCGAUAUGGAGGGCAUCCCGCACCCGAUCCCUCAGCGUCGCACCUAAGUAGCACAGCUGGUCGACCAGUGUGUCGCCUCGGGCUUCCUCCUUCGACUCGUCCAUGGGCUCGACCUCCCAAGAGGUUGAGAGAUCGCUUAUCGCCGUCCGCACUCGACGGUUCAAAGCAACAUCUCCCUCAAGCUGGGCCUUGGCGCUGCGAGCCUCGACUUGGGCGGCCAAGAGCUCGUCCUUAAGCCCUGAGAACGCCAACGCAAAAACUUUAGAAAAAACCAAGCACACCUCGAAAAGAAAAUCCGACAAUAGAAACAUACCGCGGAUGCUCUCCUCCAGAGCAGUAUUUUCGCCAACCAAAUUGUUAUUGGCCCUCUCGACCGACCCAUCACUGAUGGUAAUGGGAUCCCCCUCGACCCCCGAUCGGGGAGGCUCGGGGGCUCCCUCUUGCCUUUGGGUCUGGGGCGCCUCGGCCUGUUUCGGCGACGACGGGGCCGACUCAAGACAGGGUGGGGCACUCUCAGCGUCGGUCGGAGGCCGAGGGUCGGAGGAGCCUGAAAAACAAAAAACAAAGGCCAGUCACUAUGAUGACCAACAUAAGAACAACACAAAGUCCCAUGAAUAAGCUACAGACCUGGCUCCUUGGAGGCUGCUCCCACCUUGAGCCUCUUCGCCAUCGAAGGCUGGGCUUGCUCAAGUGUUCGCUUCAACCUGAGGAAAGAGGAACGGGCAUAAAGGAUACCGUAAUAUGAGGAAACAUGAAGAAUCAGGAGAAUAGGAAUCACAGCAUCGAAGAACUUACCCCACCGGGAGAACGGCUCGCCCGCCGGAACCUCGACCAGUAGGCCUCGAGCCACCCCGCGUCAAGGCCUCAGGCCCCUCGAGGGCAGGCGCUGGCCUUGGCCUAGUGACUCCUGCCACGCGGGCACCGGGACUGGCGCUCCGGCGGCCGGUAUCUCCCUUCUCGGAGGCCACGGCACGACCGCGGGUCAGUGGCCCCAUCGCCUAUGGCUUAGCUUGCCCACCCGUCUUCGGUGCAGGGGGAGGCUGGGGGCGCGGGGCGGCCCGACUGGUCGCGGGCGCAGGAGGGGUGUCGGCGCGGGGGCAGUGAGAUCCACCUGGCCCCUCCUUUGGCGCUCCCGUCCGCAGGGCGUCGACGUCGCCUCGAGGUAGACCUUCGAGGAUCCGGUCAAGACGAGACGCCAUCCCCUCGGAAUCGUCGCUGUCGUCGUCACCGUCCCCACCAUCAUCCUCGCUAGGGGAAUCUUCUUCAGGCUCGCCCCUCUGCCUGGAUUUAGCUCGACGCGCCUCUAGCGCUUGGCAGUCGAGAUUCUUCUUCUUUUUCCCUUUCUUUUCGGAGUCCUUGGCGGACUUUAGUUUCUCGGCGGACUGGCGCCGUUUGUCACGGUCGACCUCGUCCUCCUUUACAGGGGGCCUCGAAGACCGGACAUCGAUGCGUCCCUGCCAGAACAAAAGUAGGCUUAAAAGGAUCGAGGGAAAUCUAGAAUCGGAGCUAUGUGCGAGAGAAGAGCAUACCAGAUCGAUCGAGCCCUUGUCGGGCCUCAUGGGGAAGCCAUUGACAUGCUCCGACUUAAAGUCGCCAGCAAUGGCCGCCCUAACCCGGGCAGCGGUUUCGUUGUCCGCCAGAGCCUCGUUAGACAUCCGGCAUGCCUCGAGAUCCCAGAACAAAACGCCCGGCCCCAUCUCAUCCAUCCUCUGCGGCCGAGACAUCAGUGGGAGGACCCUCCGAGAGCGGCAGACAGGCAAUCCAGGCGCAGCUUCUUCAGAGCGUCGAGGAGGGGGUCGAGCCGCGACUGGUGUUCUCGGACGACGCCGUAUGUCCAGUUGUCCGGGCGCUCUGUAAUCAGACGGCCUGUGUAAGCGCGGAGAAGACCAUCGUCGUUCCGUAGGUAGAACCACUGGGAGUCCCAUCCGGCGUGGUUCGAUGAUAACCCCACCGGGAUGUACUCGCGUGGCCUCUCCGUCUUCUUCAUCUUCAGCACCAGGUGGAGGCAACCGGCCCGCACAUGCUUCCUCACGCCGGUGGUCCCGGUGGGGGCGUUGAAGAGCUCGCCCCUGUAGAGGUGGAGCCACAGCUCCCAGUGGGGCAUCAUCCCCAAGUAGCCCUCACACACCACGGCGAAGACCGCCGCGACGGUGAUGGCGUUUGGGGAGAAGUGCUGGAGCUCCACCCUGUAAUGAAGGUAGAGCGCCCGCAUGAAGCGGCUCCGAGGAGCACCCAAGCCAUGGCGGUGGAACUUGGCGAACGACACCACGUAGCCCUUGGGCGGAUUGGGCUCUCGGUGGUCCGCUGGUGGCGCGAUCCACUCCGGCGACGACAGCGAGGUGCGGUGGCGCAGGAGUCCCUCCCUCUCAAGCUCUAGCAACCGGCGCUCCAUCAUCGACGACGGGCGCCAGUCGUCGGUGGCGACGAGUCUCACAGGCAUCUCGAACGGAAGGAGGGUGGUUUCGCUACUGCUCGAGGGGGUGCGCGCGCGUGAGAUGGCAUGGAAGAUGGGACGGUAAGAAGGCUAAGGCAAGGAUGGCGACGGGAGGCAGAAGGGAGAACGGCGGCGAUGCCACAGGAUACUUAUAGGCAGAGACCCGCCAACGGAUAGAUCCGAUAAAUGAGGUAACUCCCCCCAUAAAUGUGCCGCCUAACGGUCCUUUUCCCACUCACAGACGGGACGCUCCAAAUUCUGCGCCAACACGUUGCCGCAACGGCUCCCGCCUGAAAAGACACGCCCAACGGGCAGAAAGGCGAACCGCCAUGGCCUCUUCCUUCCCUUGUAAGCCAAGGGACGUACCACGAAAGCCUUGAGAGGUCGCAGGCUGACCCACCGGAAGGGUUCGACAGCCGAUCUCGAGCACCAGAGUCAGGGAUGCCCAGCGAGCGGUCGAAAAUCGAGGCCCGCCUCGAGAACUCGCUGGGGAUGUCCAAGGUAGGGUCGAGACAGUCGAGAGGAAUCCCCCGACGGGAGGCACCGAGCCACUGGACUCUAUCGAACGAGACCAGCAUCCCCGACCACGUCGACCCCGCUUUAUGAGAACGCCUCCAGGCUACAACUGACCCCCUCGAAAGGGGCACAGGUUCUCACUUGGACCAACCCAUUAGGAUCUCAAUCCGGGGUGAAUGACGCUCGCUCUAUCGAGAGUACGUCGAAACCCCCUACAAAAAACGAGCCAACCAGAACCUUCCACCACCGGUGUCGACAGCGUUUCUGAGAAAUUAGGCAAUAUAACCCUCGAAGGAGUCAAAAACUCCUCCAAGGGCUCGGGGGCUACCCCCACAGGGUCGCUCGCGCGCCAACACGGAAACACGACCAAGGAAUACAGCCUCCAUUCGAGCGCCAGCGCUCAAAUGGAGACUCGGGGGCUACUGUCGAGGGUAUCAGUAAGGGGUACCCUAACUGAUGCACAUAACGAGAUUAUCUAUACACAGAUCGAGGCCCUCAACUCGACGUUCUAAUCAGCCAUACGGUCAUCGACGGCCACAGCCUCGAAGACGGAAAAAGCGUCGAGCGAACCGCUCAGGGGUCGAACAUCAACUACCGUCGAAUACGGAAAUGGGCUCGACCGAACCAGGAGGCGUCGAGCGCAAGGACACCGCCCGCCGCCUGACGCGCGCACGAGAACCCGGGCAUUUAAUGCGCCUGUCGCUUUCCCACCUAACACGCUGGUCACGGGAAGCGUGAUGGGGAACAGGCACCCGUCCCAUCAUUCUUUUUGCAACCUUCCCCACCAAAUGACCCAGAGCGUGUCAGGACGCGGGAAGCCGGGAUGGAGUGUCUAGUCAGGACCCCCUCGAGACGCCAAAAGUCAAUGCUCUGGAUAGUAAAGCGUUACAUGGCGUCCAACCCUCGAUUGGACGUGUUCCCUUCCUGGGGAAGGGUUGGGCGUCGACUCACGGCACUGCCACCAAUCUGACGUAUCAGCCGCCAUGACGUACAAGCGUGCAAUGGACAAACCGGCCCAAGACGGCGUACAGAGCGGGAUAUGAGGGCACACGUAAUCAUCAUCGAGCUAACAUGACAGGAUGGCUCGAGACCACGCCGGUACGGAGGCCUCGAGUAGGUCAACGCGCCAUGCCUCUAUCGACCCCUACUCUGUCACCUAUACAUGUACCCUAGGUCUCUCCUUGGAGCUAUAAAAGGGGAGACCUGGGAAUGAACACACAACACGCAAGACAACACUCAUACGCAGUAGAACUUCCAUACUCCACCUCAUUCCAUACCACACUUGUAUUCACCCCUGUACAAGCACUUAGGUGCAAGAUAAUACAAACUCCCCUCCUCCGCUGGACGUAGGGCCUUCUCUUGCCCGAACCAGGAUAAAUCUUUGUGUCUUCUUGCAUCACCAUCUGGGAAAGGGAAGCACGCAUACAAAUUAACUCGUUGGUGUGACCCCCCGUGGGGAAAACACCGACACUCCGAAAUUAUCUCCCAAUAAUGACACCCUUUUCACAAUUAUUUCUUUCUGACAGCAAUUAAUUACCAAAUCCAAACAACCUUAACCCGGAUCUUCAGCAUGCACCUCGAAUUUCUCAACCUCCUGAACCAAACCUCCCAAACAUCCGCUCAACGACAACUGUUCCGUUAUGGACUAUCGAUGAGCUGACCAGGAGAUCCUGCACAGUAAAAUAUCUCCUAAAAUCAUGACCGCUUGCUGUCAAAUCACCUGCACAAUCCCUUGAUUAUCAUGCGAAUAGUUACCGUAUCCACCUGAACACCCUUGAAUUUCACGAAUACGACAAAGAGAUAAGUCAGAAAUGCCCCUAAUCACUUUAUCCUAUAAAUACUUCCUUCCUUGGCACUCUUUCUCUACCUUGCCAUCCUUCAUCCCCCAAACUCAUCUCUCUGGCGGCGGCAUUGUCGAAGAGCUCAAGAACCCCAAUCUCCCCCAACGGUUUCUCAAGUCUUCGAUCUUCUUCUUCCCCGGGAGGAAAUGGCCGUCAACUUCGUCGUCCCUGAGGUUAAUCUAUUCCCAUCUUUCCUUCCUUUACCGCACCUCUUUACCUUUUGCAAGUCUACUUACUUAGCAUUUUUCCUUCUUUCUCUCUCUUUGUUAUUUCAAUCUUCAAACUUUAGGAACCGAGCGAGAAAAUUGUUAUUCCUACCGAGCAACCUCACCUUCAAUGCCUCAGUCCACUGGGUAAUCCGGAUCCUACCGAUCUGAUUUCCGAUAACUUUUUGUUAGAUCUGUGGAAAGAUAUCUUCUGAUCCUGGCCAAGUUCCACCAAAGGAUGGAAGGAUUGGUUUUUGAGGGUCGGCAAUACAAAUGAUGUAUACUGGGAUGAACGCAAACUAGACCAGUGCAUUAGGCUAUCUAUUGCCGAUAUGGAAAGGAAUGAAUCACUACUGAUAGCUGCUUCAUACUUUUGGUCGGAUACUUUUAAUGCUUUCCUUUUCGGUCACGGCCCAGCUUCCCCCACUCUCGUCGAUGUCCUCAUGCUCACUGGUUUAGACAUCGCGACUGUUGAUGAUGGCCAAUUGUUCAACCGCAAGGCCGAACGCAAAGUAGAUACCCGCAACAUCGGCGGCUGGUCAGGGUAUAUCCAGAAGUACCAAAGAAUGGGGCCGGUUGGUCACAGAGAACAUGCCAGUUUCCUGAACAUGUGGCUAGACAAAUUCAUCUUCUGCGGCCGAUCGGUAGGACCAACCUCCGUCAACUUAUCGAUAGCAGAAAGGUUAGCCGAUGGUGGCCGAUUCCCUCUUGGCCGAUAUCUGUUAGGCUCCGUCUACCAUCUCCAUCCAGUGGCCCAGAAACUCUUGUUAGGUGAACCCAUCGGCAAUCUAGGAGGCCCUUGGUGGUUCAUCAACAUGUGGCUCAAUGUUCAUAUGCACAAACGCCUUCAGUUUGAUUUCUUCGCACAGCAAUUCCCCAAAGACAUCGCCAAAGAUUAUGAACUGGCCGAUGAUGAAUCGGCAACUCGCUCACCCCUCAAUUAUGGUGAGGCUGCUAUAGUUCUCCCUGGCACCGGCUGGAAUGAAAACCAGGUCGGCCGAUUCUUCCAAACUUUGUAUGAUGGCCUCUCCAAAGAUCAGCGAGCAUGGAUGCCUUAUGAAGAUCCAGAAACCAGAUUCCCGCUCACCUUUCACCCCUUUGACGAUGCACUCAACAAGGAUAAUGAUUUGAUGAUGGCAAUCAUCACUCCGAGAGCAAUUCCAGUGAAUAGUUUCAGCAGCAGGAAGAACACCAACCUAUUGGCGGUUCUUAAUGACAUAUUUACCCCGCCAACAUAGUCCAUGCAAAGGAAGAAAAGCAUGUAUUUUACUCACAUAUACUUAUUAAAUGCUUACCAAGUUCCACAUGUAGUGCAAGUUGUGUUUUGCAGAUCAUAUACAGGCAUACAGGUGGAAAGCAAAUAAAAAGGUGCAAUCCGACACGUCAAAAAAUGUGCAAAUAAACAAGUACCCAAAAGCCCAAUAUAGAAGUGCAUCAAUUUGCAGGUGGAUCUGGACUCAGGGGCCCGAGAGGAAGGCAACGAGCUUCGGGCCGGGGCCAGCGGGGCCCACCAGGUGGCGGCCGCCCCCUAGGGUCGGCCGACCCUGGCCCAGCCCAUCUCGGCACCGCCUUUCGCAGAGGCGGUGCUGAGCCUAUCCUCCCGCAGUUCCCGCGUGCAAAUUGCAGUUUACACCCUGGGGAACUGACCUUCCCCACCUAUUUAAGGAGGGGGAGAGGGAGGCUCCAUGCAUCUCAUCACAUUCACAAUCAACACUCCACCUUCAAGGCAUUUGGGCACUACCUCUUCUUAGUUUUUCCCUUUAAGCUUUUAGAGAGAGAGUUGGGUGAGCUAUCAAGGAGGGCUUGGCUCCUUGGAGAGAAACUUGGGUAUGAAUAAAGAAUAUCUUUACUCCAAGUCCAUGCCUUAUCAUGUCCGAUAUAGUUCUUCAUAUGAACUAGAGUAUAGUUCUUAUGCUAUGGUAUAUGACAUAGAUCAUAGGCCCUGUUUUAUGAUGCUAGCAUAUGAACUAGAAUAUAGUUCUAGUGAAAAUGAUAUGACAUACAUUUUAGUAUAUAGUUCUUAUAGUAUAAUGCUACCCUCGGGCUAGUAGUGUAUUAUAUGAACUAGUGCUAAGUGUAUGUUGUAUUAUUCUCACCUAGGACUUUAGUCUAAUUGCUUCAUGUUAAUUAAUUGCCUAGAAAUAGCUUUGUGUGAAGAUGGGGGUUUAUCAUGCUCUUUUGAGUUGGCUCGGGCUUCUUACUUGUCGAUCGGUAGGGUCGGCGACCCGGGUGAGUCCGAGUAGGUUCUUUGCAUGUAAGCAUGGUGCUUGGGUGUAAAGGCCGGGUAAAUGCAUUGUCCUAGUCCACGGUUGAGGGGAUUGCGGCAGGUGGUGACAGCCCUGUCUGUCCUUGGCAUUCCCCUACGUUCGCCUAGGGUGUAGGAGUCUAAAUAGUUGCAGAGGUUGCUGGCAGACCAGUACUCGCGUAACCUCCCAAACCAUCUAAACACAGGACUAGAUCUAAGUAGUAUAAUUACAUGAUUAACUUGUUCUAUUACAUGAUCUGUAUCUAGGACCACACCUGCUCCAAUAGGUUGUUUGUUUAUUCUUUGAUUCAAUUCAUUCUUUUAGUCUCUUUUUAUUCCUUAGCCCAUAUGCCAUGCCUAGAUUGUGAUGGAUCACUAUUCUACAUAUAAAUGUUUAUCACCUGCUGUGACCUUUGAUUCCAAUAUUGCUAUCAUAAUUACUUUGAUCUAUGCUUAUCUUAGAAUCCUUAACAUAUUAAGCCUUCCUUAGAGCGAACCUAUAAAUACGACACUCGGUAAAUCCCCGGGUUGAAAUGCUACACGAUAAUUCCCGUCUGCUUGCGGUACUUAAACUCCAAACCUAAGGAACUAUCACCCCGGUAUAUACUUAACACUGUUGCUAGACAUGCGCCGAGCUAGUGACUUGUUAAGGAAUACCAUCAUGGCAAUCCUAGUGCCACUACCAUGAUUAAGAACUGGAACCCUACCCUAACGGUAAUAAGGCGCCGUUAUCGGGAACGUAGAUCUAGCUUCCUAUUCAAGGUGAUGAUGCUACGGAUCUGCCAAUAUAACACUGCCAAUGUCAUUAUCAUGAGUAGAGCAGAACCCUAUUCUAGGUAGCGACGCUAAGAAACGCUAACAGGCAUUUCUGGCACCGUUGCUUAGGAUAGAAUUAUACUCUAAUCUUGGUGAUUGCAUUAGUAAGUGUUAUCACGACAUUUCUGACAUCGUUGCUGAGGACGGAUUAAACCCUAUUCUUAGUGAUGACGUUAAGAAAUGCCAACAAGCAUUUCUGGCGCCGUUGCCGGGGAAGGCUAAUAUGAAAAUGAUUCUAGAUAAAUAUAAUCAAGUAAUCUGAUGUGCGUAAUGAGUCAAUUGUUAUGCAGGCUAACUCUGCCUGUUUUCUCCCUGUUGUGGAUGAAACAGGAGGAAUAGUGUAUGCCUGGUUUCUCUUUGUCAGAAAACUACAUCUCCGAUCUCGAGGCACUCCUAAGGACUAGACGGUCUCGAACCGUUUCGUCUUCUGCUACUCCACCGACAAGUGAACCAGCCGGUACCGCACCAACCCCGAACGAACUCAUGGCCGCCGAGAAGACACUCCGCGAGUUCUCCGUGCCCGCUGUCACCAACGUGGCCACUGGCCCCGAUGUUGACACAGCCGGCAAGAACUUCGAGCUACGCACCGGCCUGAUCACCAUGGUGCAGGCGAGCCCAUUCUGUGGCUUGCCAAGCGAGGAUGCGAAUGCACACCUUCAACACUUCUUGGAGAUAUGUGACACGAUUGUCAUCAAGGACAUCACUCCUGAUGUCAUUCGGCUCCGCCUCUUUCCUUUCUCCCUCGUGGGGAAGGCGAAGAGGUGGUUCUAUCAAGAUAAGGAAGCUGUCACCACGUGGGCAAAAUGCUCCGUGGCAUUCCUCGCCAAGUUCUUCCCCAUAAGCAAAACCAAUGCUUUGAGAGGAAGGAUUGCCAGUUUUCAACAAAAUACCAGCGAAACAAUCCCUGAAGCAUGGGAGCGGCUACAAGAGUACAUCCUAAGCUACCCCCAUCACGGCAUGGAGAACUGGAUGGUGCUCCAGAACUUCUACAAUUGGCUCACACCCAUGUCGAAGGGACACCUAGACGCCGCCGCUGGAGGCGCGUUCCUAUCACUUACCACCGCCAGGGCCAAGGCCCUGAUCGAGAAGAUGGUAGAACACCAGAGCUUGGGGGAGGACAGAACUCAAUGACCAGCUGCCAAAACACAAAAAGGCAUGCAUACCGUGAAGGAGACGGAUAUGCUUGCCACAAAAAUAGAUUUAUUGAUGAAGCAACUCACCGAGAGGAACCAAGAGAACCCCUCGAACUCGGUGAAGGCCAUAGACUCGCACAUGACGUGCGAGGUUUGUGGAGAAGUUGGCCAUUUGGGGAAUGAUUGCCCCGAAACCCGUGAAGACGCUGCCUACAUCAACAACGGGUUCCGCCAACAAGGAGGCGCCAACCAAGGUAAUGGUUGGAAUAAUCAGUCACGCUCUUCAUUCCAAGGUAAGUUGUUAUCCAAUGAUAAGGUUUAGAAAACAUAAAUACAAAAAUAGAAAACCUUGCCUCUUCCGUACAAAACCAACUGAGCUUUAAUAAAAUGAUAGAAACACAACUAGCUCAGAUCGCCGCUGCAAUUCCUACUGACAAUGUGGGUAGACUCCCGGGGCAACCUGAGAACUCUCCCACUAACCAUGUAGGGUGAAAUUCAAACGACGGAAGAGAGUCCUUCUCAAAAAGGACUAUAAACAUUUUUUUGAGCCUCCGCCGAAGGUAAUCGGUAGUUAUCUUAAAAAAAAUAUACAUAAAAUAAAUUUGAAAAAUAUUCAAAAAUUCAUUUUCAGCUAGGAAAUAAAAUAAAAUAAUAGAAAAAUAUUUUUUCUAAAUUUUUUGAAAAUAAAAAUUUUACAAAUAAAUGUUGGAAAUUGCAAAAGUCAUUUUUUCAGCUAGAAGUGCAUCAAUAUGCCAACGGAAAACUUCAAAAACUAGCCGUUGGAAGAUGGAGACAAAAGCUGGGGAGCAGUGGGGCCCACCAGGGGGCGGCCGCCCCUAGGAUCGGCCGACCCCCCCCCCAACGGCUCUGGCCAACGGCCAGCUGGGGGAGGCUCCUAGCCGUUGCCCUCACCGCGAAUCCACCUGCAUUUUCAAACUAUAAAUACCAGGGGUUCGGGUGUGGCCCUCUCCACCCAUUCUCACUUCACUUCAUCACUUCCAUCUUCACUCUCCAAGCGACACAUUCACAUCUUUGCUAUUUCCAACCAACCACCAGCAGAAACCUCACAAAAAAUCACCUAUCCAAGCUAGCUAUCCACUGGUGCAAGCAUUGCACCAUGAAAAGGUUCGGCAAAACAGUUUCGGGGGCGUUUAAAAGAGUCACGAGGUCAUCCUCGAAGCGCCCCUAUCGGAGCACUUCCUCAUACUACACCGAUCCCCGAUGGAGUCCUUCCGCUGAGGAAGAAUCCCCGGAGAUCGAGGAGGUAGAGGAAGAGGUAGAGGAAUAAGAAGAGGAACAAGAGGAGGAACAACAUGAAGAAGGAGGAGCCCACCAAUUCGACUUGGUGGGUGAUCGAGAACAUCAAGCCUACAACAUGCUCAAGGACCGGAUCUUCCUCCAUACGCCGGUCUACGACGACUCGCUCCUCUCCGACAUCAGUAUGGACUCUGAAUUCCUCUCCAUAUGGAAAGCCGCCGGGUGGGACAACAUUCACCCCAUAACUGAGUAUGGAUCCUAUACCCUUACCAUUCAAUUCCUAUGCACUUUAAGAGAAACAUAUGAAGGUAUUUCUGUUCGUAUAUUUGGAAAUGAAUAUGCUAUCUUUUGGAAAGACUUAAGCAAAUACCUUGGUUUUCAUCAAAGAUGCUCCCUUGAUUUAGUGCAUGCCACAAAAGGGUUUAAUAAGGAUAAGUUUUGGGAAGAAAUCACAGGGCAAGUUCACACUGGAAAAUACUAUCCUAGAAAUGCCCACAUCCAACACCCCACUCUAAGGUUUUUACACCUUUGGCUAUCCAUAACAAUGUUUCCUAGCCAGGAUACCCGCGUUGUGCGAGUAAAUGAAAUGAGGUUACUUUACGCGGCUAGAAUGAAAAUAAAAGUUGCGCAUGUGCAAGAAAUUGUAAGGCAUUAGUUAGAUAUAAUCAAGACAACCACCCCUAUCUCUUUGACUUCACUCAUAACACGUGUGGCCACGGCCAUUGGUGCGUUGGAAGGGCAAGAUCUUGAUUAUAUUCAAAUUCCACGCACCAUGAUUAAUGAAACCUAUCUUAUCCAUGGUCACCAUUUGAAAGAGAUAACGCGGGUGGUCUUGUGUUUUAUUUCUCAGGGUAUACAAACGUAAUCUAGUUACCUAACCCGGAUCUACGCUUGUAUAACUCUGGGAGACUAACCUUUGAUCUGUAGACAGCUGAAACUACACGAAGGCGUAGUGUUUCUGGCAGGGACAUUAGCAGAUCUAGCUCCCAGCCAACACCCUCCUAUACAUAGCCGAUCUACCAGUCGGGGUGGGACACACCCAUAUCGACACAAGGUGUUGAGGGGUGGGCUGAGGCGGAUUCCAGCGCUUGGGAACAACAAUCGCGCUGGAGGGCUGAAUCACCAGAAGAAUAUCCUUCGGCCUCCACAGUAGCCGAACCGACUUGGAGCGCCUCCAAGCUCAGCUUGGGGGACUGGUGGUGCGCACGGAUGAGAUCCAGGAUUGCUCCAACAACACAUCCAAACCACCGAUGCGCACCACCAGCAGGCCGUGGAGUGGCACCAGCAAGGGUUGCUAUGGCAACAACAACAACAGGCCUGGCACCAGCAGUAGCAAGAAGAAAUGCAAGCUCGCCAAGAUCAGCUGCUGAAACAGUCCCAAGACUUCUGGCGGUACAUGGGGUACAACCCCGAUCAGUAGGCCAGAAGCUAGCUUGGGGGAGGACCCCCAAUCCCGAGGUUAUCUGCAUUGCAUAUUUAUUUUCAUGCAUCCUUAAUUUUAAAUUAGCAUGUUUACUUUAUGAAAUUUCCAUUAGUUAAAUUCAUGUUUUAAUUAUUACAUAUAAAAAAAUGAAAAAUGCUAAAAGACAAAAAUAUAAUUCCACUCUUAUAUGUGAUGUAAGAUAUAUGCUUCUUCCUUGUUGAAAUAAUGAAUAGUUACUCUAUCGUAAUUUCUUUCCAGUAUCUAGUUUCAACCUUGAAUUCUCCAAAUUAAUAAAAUGAUUAAAUGCGUGGGUUGCAAAAUGCUCUAUCUAAAGUCUGAAGUAAUUAAUGGAUAUAUUUGUGAUGAUCUGAGCUGCUAGUAUCCUGUUCUAAACAACGCUAGAGUUCUGGAGCUUUUACAAAAAUAAAUAAUCACAUUGAGUUAGAUUAAGCUUUGUUGACCCUUUGAGAGGUUGUCAUACCAUUGAAAACAAAAAUAUUUCAUUAUGUUAUCAUCUCAAAAGUUUGUUAAAAGGCAUAUGGCUAUGAAAAAGAAAAUAAAGCAUUCGAGGAAAUAAAAAGGGACAUGUGUCCGAAACCUCAAAAAGAAAUUUCACGAGGAAAUAAAAAGGGACAUGUGUCCGGAACCUCGAAAAAAAUAAAAAUAAAAAAAAUGGGCAAGUGCCCAACAGUAGAAUUAGCCACAUAGCCAUGUGACUCUAAUAGACAAAAAGAGAAUGAUGGAAAAGAAAAGUUUUCUAAAAUUCAAUGGUAUGAUUAACUUUCUCUUUGGAUCCAUUGUUUCAUUCGACAAAUAAAUGUGCUAAGUUUUGAAAAUUAAACAAACUCCGAAACAAAAAGUGAAGUAAAGAACUGGGGACAUAGCGCUCGAUCUCAUCAAAUCCAUCCUGCAAAUGCUUAAGGACCCAAGGUAUGAGCAAUAGGCCCCAUGACAUAUCUAUUCAAAAUUCAAAGGAGAAUUCUUGUUUGAAGGUAUGUACUGGAUAGAAGUGAAAAUAUUGUAGCAACUCCUGAUCAACAACCAAGAUCUUAGCUUCUUGCUCGAGGACGAGCAAGGGGUAAGCUUGGGGGAGUUUGUUGGCAGUUCUUAAUGACAUAUUUACCCCGCCAACAUAGUCCAUGCAAAGGAAGAAAAGCAUGUAUUUUACUCACAUAUACUUAUUAAAUGCUUACCAAGUUCCACAUGUAGUGCAAGUUGUGUUUUGCAGAUCAUAUACAAGCAUACAGGUGGAAAGCAAAUAAAAUGGCGCAAUCCAACACGUCAAAAAAAUGCAAAUAAACAAGUACCCAAAAGCCCAAUAUAGAAGUGCAUCAAUUUGUAGGUGGAUGUGGACUCAGGGGCCCGAGAGGAAGGCAAUGGGCUUCAGGCCGGGGCCAGCGGGGCCCACCAGGGGGCGGCCGCCCCCUAGGGUCGGCCAACCCUGGCCCAGCCCAUCUCGGCACCGCCUUUCGCAGAGGCGGUGCUGAGCCUAUCCUCCCAUAGUCCCCGCGUGCAAAUUGCAGUUUACACCCUGGGGAACCGACCUUCCCCACCUAUUUAAGGAGGGGGAGAUGGAGGCUCCAUGCAUCUCAUCACAUUCACAAUCAACACUCCACCUUCAAGACAUUUGGGCACUACCUCUUCUUAGUUUUUCCCUUUAAGCUUUUAGAGAGAGAGUUGGGUGAGCUAUCAAGGAGGGCUUGGCUCCGUGGAGAGAAACUUGGGUAUGAAUAAAGAAUAUCUUUACUCCAAGUCCAUGCCUUAUCAUGUCUAAUAUAGUUAUUCAUAUGAACUAGAGUAUAGUUCUUAUGCUAUGGUAUAUGACAUAGAUCAUAGGCCCUGUUUUAUGAUGCUAGCAUAUGAACUAGAAUAUAGUUCUAGUGAAAAUGAUAUGACAUACAUUUUAGUAUAUAGUUCUUAUAGUAUAAUGCUACCCUAGGACUUUAGUCUAAUUGCUUCUUGUUAAUUAAUUGCCUAGAAAUAGCUUUGUGUGAAGAUAGGGGUUUAUCAUGUUCUUUUGAGUAGGCUCGGGCUUCUUACCUGUCGAUCUGUAGGGUCGGGGACCCGGGGGAGUCCGAGUAGGUUCUUUGCAUGUAAGCAUGGUGCUUGGGUGUAAAGGCCGGGUAAAUGCAUUGUCCUAGUCCACGGUUGAGGGGAUGGCGGCAGGUGGUGACAGCCCUAUCCGUCCUUGGCAUUCCCCCAUGUUCGGCUAGGGUGUAGGAGUCUAAAUAGUUGCGGAGGUUGCUGGCAGACCAGUACUCGCGUAACCUCCCAAACCAUCUAAACACAGGACUAGAUCUAAGUAGUAUAAUUACAUGAUUAACUUGUUCUAUGACAUGAUCUGUAUCUAGGACCACACCUGCUCCAAUAGGUUGUUUGUUUAUUCUUUUAUUCAAUUCAUUCUUUUAGUCUCUUUUUAUCCUUAGCCCAUAUGCCAUGCCUAGAUUGUGAUGGAUCAAUAUUCUACAUAUAAAUGUUUAUCACCUGCUAUGACCUUUGAUUCCAUUAUUGCUAUCAUAAUUACUUUAAUCUAUGCUUAUCUUAGAAUCCUUAACAUAUUAAGCCUUCCUUAGAGCGAACAUAUAAAUACGACACUCGGUAAAUCCCCGGGUUGAAAUGCUACACGAUAAUUCCCGUCCGCUUGCGGUACUUAAACUCCAAACCUAAGGAACUAUCACCCCGGUAUAUACUUAACACUAUUGCUAGACAUGCACCGAGCUAGUGACUUGUUAAGGAAUACCAACAUGGCAAUCCUAGUGCCACUACCAUGAUUAAGAAUUGGAACCCUACCCCAACGGUAAUAAGGCGCCGUUAUCGGGAAGGUAGAUCUAGCUUCCUAUUCAAGGUGGUGAUGCUACGGAUCUGCCAAUAUAACACUGCCAAUGUCAUUAUCAUGAGUAGAGCAGAACCCUAUUCUAGGUAGCGACGCUAAGAAACGCUAACAAGCAUUUCUGGCACCAUUGCUUAGGAUAGAUUUAUACUCUAAUCUUGGUGAUUGCAUUAGUAAGUGUUAUCACGACAUUUCUGACAUCGUUGCUGAGGACGGAUUAAACCCUGUUCUUAGUGAUGACGUUAAAAAAUGCCAACACAACCCUACCUAUGAGUUUUACAACCCAUCGGCAGUAGCUCGCCAACUAGCUUUUGGCCAACUGCCGAUCAGACUUUGUUAUGCUGAUGUAGUAAAACCAAGGGAGACAAUAACCAGCGGACUUGAGUGGAUUAGGAUAGCUCAACUCCAGCCAAAUGUCGAUACAACAGACAUCGAUCUAUCGGCUUGGGUCCCAGCUCUCUUCAUCACUCAGUUGUAUAAACAUUGGUGGGAAGAAAGGAAGGAACAUCUGUUCAGGGCAUCGGCUCAUACAUACUGUGGUAUGAUCGACUCCGACUACAAAGUCCCCGAUAGCAUUGUAAGUCUUUUACCGACACCUCAGUUCCUUUGUUAUCUUUAAUCCUAUUGAUAACUUAUUUAUAUAUUUUUUUUAAUAGGUCGAUAACCUAGCACCGACAAUUAGCAGAAGUGGAAGGCCGAUCGAACUUCUUCAAUCAGGCCCGAUUUCUCUGAUCGGCCACAAUGCGCCAAGUCUAGCAGCCCUGAUGCAUCGGAACGUACGCUUCAAGAAGACGACCACCAAACGGUCGAGAGUAUCUUCAUCGGUCGCUGCUGCUACCCUAGCACAGGCUAUCAAGGUAAAACUCUUAAUAAAAUUUCUUUAAAUAUCGAAUUCAUCCCAUACUCACUUCAUCUUCUCAGGGUACAUCGGCUGCAACGAGAACUUCAUUCGUAACUUUCAUUUUCUAUUAAAACUUCAUCAGUACCUUCCCUUAUAUCCAACUCAUGAAUCUUUAUUUUCUGUAAUAGUAGACUGACAAAUCGGCAAAAAACCAGGAGUGCUCAAACAUCAGGUGCCGAUGCCCCCUAGCCCAGUCAAGCUCCAACCAAGAGAAAGUGUCCCAAAGCACCAAGACCCAACCGAAGCACCAGAAGACAGCACCAUCUUCUCCACCUCGUCCAGUGUCCCCGAUCUAGGUAGCAUCAUCUCCUUCUGUAACAUCCCUGAUGUUACGGUUACUAAAAAUGGAUCAUGUCAUCAUGAGCAUUGCAAAUCAUAUUUGUUAAAGCACAUUAGCAUGCAUCAACUUAAAACAAGUUUAUUUUUAUUGCUUGAGCUUAGGGAGGUAGAGUGUGUUUAUGUGGAAUGUUGAUGCUUGUGUGGUUGCUAAAAUCCUAGGGUGGGAAUUUUUUUUCCGAAAAGCUAAGGGGGGGGGGGGGGAAACCCUGAUUUCUGGAUCCUAGAAUUGCCCCCUUUUUGCAUAAGUCAAAAACUAAGCAAAAUUUGAGGUUGAGUUCAAAAGCAAAGUUGUAGCUCUUGGCAAGAUGUACAACUUUGGUGUUUUGAGUUUUUGAAGUUUCAAUACAAAAUUCAAAGUAAUUUUGAAAAUACAGAUUUCCAGAAGUUGUCCCCUUUUCCAACUUAAAACCCCAGUUCAAAAUCUAUUUGGAAUUUUAAAAAGUGGUCAACAUGAAAGUUGUAGAGCACAAAAAGUUGAGCAACUUUCAUGUUGGGAGUUUUUCAAGUUGUUAUGCAAAAUCAAAAGUAAUUUUGGAAAUUCUGUUUUGCCCCAAUUCAAAAAUUUGGAAUUUCCUUGAUUUGAGUUUGAUUUUCAAACUGUUUUGGCCAAAUUCACCCUGUUACACUCAAAAUCAGCUCUGGUCACCUAAAUAUGAUUUGUAGCUUACAAAAUUUGGCACAACUUUUGUUUUGGUGGAAUUUGGGCUUUAGUUCAAAUUUUGGCUGAAUUUCGCAAGGGGACAAAAAGGGGGAAGAUAGGGGUUGCUACAGUGAUCCGAUAGGGAUCACCGGCACCCUGUCCAGCGCAUCCGCCGCGCGAGCAGCGCCGUGCGCAUGCGUGCAAGCACGCAGCUGCUUGCUUGCCUGCGUCGCCAGGCGACGUGGACGCCCCGGGCUCGCUUCCUCUUUCCCUUAAGCACCAGCACGGACGGCGCCGCGCGUUCUCCCCGUCCAGAGCCGAAGGAUCCUGACGAGCUUCUCUCUCAAAAUUCACCGUACUCGAUCCCUCUCCAGUCAAAUUGAGCACCCCACCGUGUUCGCCACACUCUUGCGAGCUCAGCGCACCCCCUAGCUCUUUCUCUAACCCACCCAGUCGCCAGAGCUCCUCUGUUCUUCUCCAACUCCGGCCGAGACCGCCGCCGUGAGCUUUCUCCGUGGCCGCGCUAUUCCAGUGAGCAAACGAUCGAACUAGCGGAUGUUUCUGUUUCCUUUUUAUCUCCAGUUGCUCAUGCGCUCGUUCCUUUUCCCUGGACGCGAACAGGAUCGCCGGAACGACCUCACCGGAGCCGAAGCACCCGCCCGACGGCAUCGUCUUCGUCGCCAGCAGUCUCGGCUACCUCCCAGAGUCCCGCGUUGUGAGCACCUUGCUCCUUAACACUCCCUGAACCUCCCAGCCUUGCUGGUUCACGCUCUACCGAGCCCUAGUGGCCGGCCGAUGGUCGGCCAUGGCGGCCGCCCGCUUUUCGUGUGGCCGGAGAGGAGGGAGACGGUAGAGCACGAGUAGAGGGUGGCAGUGAAGUCGCAGGGUCAAGGCGGAGUUGAUGCGCACGCACGCGUAGGCCGAGUACUUCGCUAACGGCGGCCGGAGUCGCGGCGGAGCCGCCGCGCGCGAAGGAGGAGGAACUGACGGGUGGGGCUACCCCGUCAGCGUCCCGCAGAGAGAGGGGAGAGGACGACCUGACGAGCGGGACCCGCUCGUCAGUAACCGCGUGAGGGGGAGGGCACGCGCGCAGCGUCCGCGUGGGCCGGGCGGGAGCGGGCCGGCCUGCGGGCCGAAAUCCGGCCACCCGCUGCAAUGUCUUUUCUUUUUUCUUUUAUGCAGUUUUUGUUUUAUAUUUGAAAUUGUGUAAUAAAUCCUGUGUUGAUUCAAAAAUCAUAGAAAUUUUUGUAGAGCUUCCCUAAAAGGAAUAGAACAAUGGAAAAAUAUUAGUAUCUGUUUUCCAAUAGUUUGCAAGGGUAUAAAAAUUACCUACUUUAUAUAAUGAAUAAAACUUCUAGGAAUUUUAAUAAUUUAUUUACAUGUCCAAAAAUCACCAAAAAUUGUGGGGAGCCUCUGAAUAUUAUUCCCUGGCUCCACACAAAAUUUGGUAGCAUUUGGAUAAUGUUUGAUUGAAAUAUUAAUAAACCCUUAUUUAGUACUUGAAUAAUAAUUCCAAAAUAAUUAACUAGUGAUUAGUUAAAUCCUCAUAAUUAGGGUUGAGUGACUUUUGGAUUGUGUGAUGACCUGAGGUCAUUAACCCUAAUGACCUUUGGCAUUUAAUUGUUGUUUAGCCCUAAUGCUUAAUUACUGUCAUUAGUAAUUAAUUAAAAAUUAAUUAAGAUAAAUAGAUUUAAUAAUUAAUUAAUUUAAGAUAAUUAUGAAUUAAAUAAAGUCUUAGAUUACAGAUGCAACCUCUUGGGUAAAAACAAUAGGUUAGUGAACAAAUUUAUUAUUAAUUAUUCUAUAUUGCAUUAGGAAGACAAAUUGUACUUGAUUUAGCCCUUCUUGCAUAAUUGUCAUACGCAUCUCAUGAGCAUUCAUCAUUUUGCGUAUAGUGUCCGUGACCGAAGGAGCGCCCGUUGAACCGAACCCCGAGGUCGGUGCUCCGUUCGAGGAAGUCGGAUCCGAGACUUGGGAAGUCUCCGAGGGUCCCUCUCUGCCCUGCAACCAAGGCAAGCCCCGGAUGCAUUAACCCCUCCUUGGAUGUUUUAAAUCUUUUAUCACUUAUGAAUUGAAAAUGCUGCAUUAGGUAGUUGAGAAUUGGGUUAACCUACUUGCUGCAUUUACUACCUUGAUAUCUGUUAUCCUGUCCUUGACACCUGUUUUAUUUUAAACUGCGUAGUGAUGCUUAGCCCUGCUACUAGAUAGGUUUUAAAACAAGAAAGUUUGAAGGGUUGUUGUGGAAUACACUUAUGAUCAAUGAUGUUUCAAAUUGAGACCGGUCGGUGGACUUGCUUUAAGAAUGGAGUCUUAAAGUAGUGUCUCCAACUGUGUCGGUUAAGGACCGGUCCGUUGUUGGCCUGCUGGGUUGAGAAUUUAUAGUACUAGCCACUUGCCCUCGGCAAGCCCAGUCUUGUGAUCCCUCGACGCGAACAGCUACUCGCGCACUGGGAGUGGAAAGAUGGCGAGAGUAGUGUGUACCCACCUUACGGAUCUGAGAUGACCGGAAAACAUCUAGAUCGGCUGUAGAAUGGUGGAGUACUGUGCUCUCGGGUGCCGCGAACCUGGUCAAAUUUGGGGAGAGCUUGAUUUGGGUUGAUAUAUGCAAGAUUUGAUUCUACAUAUGUCGGGUGGUUAGGAACUCCAGCUGGAUUGCUAAGCGAUUCGAAUCGUCGUUGCUCCCCGAUUGGGAGACUCAAUUCCUUCGACCCUCAUCGUAGUUAAAUAUGCAACUAAGUGAUAAAAUGAGAAAAGGGAAAAUGUCUCAUGAGAUUCGGAUCCCAAUUCCCGGACUCAUAGCGACAUGAAGCUAUGGCCAUCGAUAAAUAAUACUUAAUGAUAGGACUAGGAACUCACGGAAUCGUCUGUGGGGAACAACCAGUUAGACUAUCCUCGAAUUCCUCUGCCUCUGCGAGGGAGGAAUUCGGGGUAAAACUUGAAAAUAAGGAUGCACUACUAGUAAGCUUUUGCGCAAAACAAUUGGGCUCCUUGCUUAGCCACCCCUUGUCUACCCUAAGCCUGCAUCCCUAAAUUCUCCUCUUUUUCCGUCGGAUAAGUCUUGUUGAGUACUCCCGUACUCAGGGUUUCAAUACCCCUGUUGCAGGUGAAGCGCAGGAGCCGACUUGUUUCGGACCCUGCUGUGUGACCGUCGUCGAGGUUGACGACGAAGAAGAAUAAGCGUGACCCAUGGGCAGGGUCUGUAAAUUUGUGCUGUCUAUACUAAAGUUUCAGUUGCUCCGCUGGACCAGGCUUGUAAUAACACUCUACUAUUUGGAAGAACUCCUUUUGUAAAUUAAGUUAUGUAAUACUUCCGCUGUUUCACUCUAAAAUAUUAUUUUGGUCUUGUGUCGUUGAGUUACUGCUUUAUCUUCGCAACGAAUGAUCCUGGUGUUAAGGUGGCCACUUGCUAUCCUGUAAGGGCGAGAAGAAGCAGUUUUCGUUGUUUGACCAUUACCAGUGGUCAGGACGAGCAGCUUGGUACGCCACAGGUAGCAGUGGAAUGAGCGUCCCGUGAUGCUCAUCGGACUUCUAAAGUGGGAGGACUCCCGGCAUCACCGUCAGAGGUCCUUAGGACAAUGGCAGGUGCCGGUGGGCCCGAACACUUAGGGGGUUCUGCCACACCUUCUCCACCGGAACCCUGGACACAAGAAGUACCUUCUCCUCCUCGACCAGUACCCCAGCCACAAGAAGCACCAGCCGAUGUUUCUAAACAGAUUGCCGAUCCAGCUGAUCUGGGCACAUCCCUCCAGAACAGACCAUCACCAUACCCCCUCAAGGUAAAGUACUGAUCAUAGAAUUAUUACCGAUGAAUUUAUUUUAUAAGCUAUAAUCAUCCUUGUAACUUUUUAGGUGAAGUCAUUCCAUCGACAACCCCAGCGGAUCAAACUAUAGCACCAGCUGCAUCUCCACGCCAGAGGUAGGAAAUCACCCUGAAGCAAGUAAGUUAUUAGAUUUUCAGACUUCACAUUAUCAACACUUAAUCUUUGAGUAAAUUAUCUUUUUCUUUUUCUAGUAACAAGACUCCCCAGACAGCCUGUUCUCCUUUGCCAUCGAUAUCUCCGAUGAUGAAGGCGAAGAAGCAAGCUCUUCUCAGGCAGUUGGAAUCUCAUCGUCAGAAAUUAAAGCCAAGUUGGAAGAUUUGUUAGCCCUGCUGCACCAGGACACACCACAGCUAGUGGAUGAUUCUGAUCCGGCCAAAGAUAUAUUCAAGACCCUCCGUGGUCAAAUUCCAGCCGAUGCAGAAGAAGUCCUCUUCCAAGCUACCCACUUAGAGAGCCGCCAACUCCAAUAUCAGAAGGCCACCCAGCGUCUUGCCGAUAGAGCUGCUCAUGCCCGACUCGUUGAGGAAAUGAUACAAGUAAAGUGUGCUGCCGAUGAGAAACACAAGAGCAUUGGCGUUCUGCAGUCCUCAGGGGAUGAGCUGAAACAAAAGAUCUCUGAUCUAUCGGCAAGAAGAGAAGCCCUGCUAGCUGAACUCAAGCAAGUAGAAGAGGCCCUGACCCAAGCUCAGCAAGAAGAAAGCCAGCUGCCCAAGGUGCUCAAAACUCUUCGGCAAGAAAGAGAUGUCCAAGCCCGCAAAGCACUAUAGAUGAAGAAGAAGCUGAAGCCAGUGGAGGGUUCUGCCGAUGAAGAUACUCAAGAAAUAGAAGAGGCCAACCAGAUUCGUCUGCGCGCCAUAUCAGCCAUGCAAGCUCUGCUGAACCUGUGAACUCUUCAUCGGCAGCUUGUUUAAUUCUGCUUUCAAAAACUUUUAACCAUUUUGGUCUAGCUGAUAGGAUUGUUAUCGACACUUAAACACUAUGCAUGGUCCCAGAUACAUUUUAUCUAGCCGAUAGGACUAUUAUCGGCAUUUGAACCUCUAUGCAUCAAUCCAGAUACUUGGAUAGUAUCUCUUUAAAUAUUUUCCAUUUAAUGCUUUGGGAAAUUCAACUCCUUUGAGAAUUUCUAAGAUAUAAGCAUUGCCAGGAGCAGAUCGAUUUAUCCGAUAAGGACCCUCCCAAUUAGGCGACCAUUUCCCAAACUUUGAACUUUUAGUCCCAAUCGGUAGAAUCAGUUUCCACACUAAAUCUCCAUCGGCAAACUCUUUGGCCUUGACUUUCUUAUCAUACCAUUUAGCAAUUCUAUUUUUAUUUUCUUCUAUGCUAAUUAAAGCUCUCAACCGAUGCCCUGCCAAAUCAUCCAGUUCAUCUUUCAUUAAAGUGGCAUAGUCGUCGGCAUUUAGCUGAUCCUGAUAAAAGAUUCGCCUAGAACCAGUUUUUAUCUCCCAUGGCAAUACCGCAUCAUGUCCAUACACAAAUUGAUAGGGUGACACUUUUGUUGAGCCAUGACACGCCAUCUGAUAUGACCAUAAGGCUUCAUUCAACAAUGUAUGCCAUCUCCUAGGAUUUUCUUCAAUUUUCCGCUUAAUGAGCUUAAUAAUGCCUUCGUUAGAAGCUUUAGCCUACCUGUUAGCUUGAGCAUAGUGUUGACGGUCCUUAAGUACCAAAUUUAAUUAUCAAAUAAAUAAAGAAAAUGAUCCAAAUGCAACCAACACCCAGACUUAGGGUUUUAUCUGACAGAAUUCCACGAGUUUUGGUGUCUGUCUAUUUCUGCAGGGGGUUAUCAGGAAAUAUGGAAGAAAGGCCCACACAUCGGGUUUACAUAGAGAUAUUAACGUGUCGUGCAAUUUCUGUCAUCUAGAAGACUCCAGAAGCCAUAGGAACGAACGGGAGGCCGAGCGGGCUCGGGGGCAGGGCGCCCGCCCUCCCCUCUUGGGCGCCUGCCCAGCUACAGAGUCCAAACAGGACACGUCUCGCGGAUUACGCUCCACCGACCUAAAGGAUCAAGGAUAACCGUUCAAUCAAUGUCGGUUUGAUCUGACGGCCCAGAUUCACUUGAGGGGACUAUAUAAGCAGACCCCCUGGCCCCUGGAGGAGACACCCCUUGAUCCCUAUUCAUUAUUCAUAGACAGAGCAAAAGCUAGGGUUUGGAGAUGAGAGCUCUCCUCUCUUCUCUAAACUAGAGUAGAUCUAGAUAGUAGCGAGAUGGAGAGCGAGAGAGGAUUGGAGGAGAGGCCGGCCUGUCGGUUCUUCCUCCGGUUGUACUUCAUCAUGAUCAAGCUCUAAUCAAGCCUGCUCAUGGGAUGACUCUGGUAAUCUACUUCUAAUUCAUUAUGCAAUUACUAAUCAUGUAUGUUCUGGUUCACAACUCUUUUGAGUACUUUAAUCUAUAGGACGCUAUAGGUGAGAGUUGUAGUAUAGGUGUAAGCGUGGUGCUUAGACCUAGAUUACUUGUGGAUAUCCCCUGUCUACCUGGAUCGUGUGGUAGGCCGCGUAGGUGAUACUUACGUUGGUCCCCUGUAGUCCACCUCUUGUUAGCAGGACAGGUAUGGUUUAUCAUCCAAUUUAUAAGCAUCCUUUGUGGUGUAUUCUUAUCACGUGGUUCGUCCCAGACAUUGACAUACCCCUUUGAAGUAGAGAAACCAUAGUUAUCCUCUCUAUUCUCCUACCAUCGCCCAUAUAUUAGAUUGCUCUACUCUCUAAUCCCAUAUUAUCACUCACUGUUAUCUUACCUUUAAUAUUGUUCUUAUUCAAUUCUAUCAUCUUUCCUAUUUACACCUACAUAUCUAUCUAGGUUAAGUUAGAGCGUAGAUCAGUUCUCCCGUUUCCCUGUGGAUACGAUAAAACCUUUAAUCGGGUAAAAGCUACAACGGUAUCCGUGCGCUUGCGGAUUUAUCUGUGUGCGUAUAAAUACCAUAGUACACUCUAGUGCCACGCUAGGGAUGACAACCUAGUAUUCAAGUGGUGUUAGCAAGUGUCAACAAGCAUUUUUGGUGCCGUUGCCUGGGAGACGGUUGCUGAGUUGACUACGAACUAGCUUAAUCAUUUUCUAAAUAUAUAUAUAUAUAUACUUUUCCUUUUAUCUUUUGCUUUAUCUCUGCUAUUCUUUCUUCUUAUCUAAUCCUUGAUCUCUAGUCUAUCAUGAAUUCAAACAUGUCUAUCUAUGAAUUUAAUAGACCUACGAGCACACAUCUCGAACCACCAAAAUCUUCAAAGCCUAUCAUGACAUCUAGUUUUGAGAUAAGCCCGGAAUACAUAGAAUUUAUUCAAAAACAACCUUUCUUAGGAGAAGGUGAGGAAAACCCAUACACACACCUAAGAGAGUUUUAUCAAGUCUGUGACCUCCUUCGCAUUGAAGGCAUGUCUGAUGAGACCCUUAAAUGGAAGCUCUUUCCGUUCUCUUUAACGGGAAAAGCUAGACAUUGGUAUAAACUCAACAUAGGAAGUGCUCAUGGAGAUUGGAAGGAGCUAUACAAUAGUUUUCUCUCUAAAUAUUUUCCGAUCUCCAAAGUGGUAGAUCUUCGGCUCGAGAGUCUUUCUUUUAGACAAUUAGAAGAAGAGUCUCUUGGAGAAUCAUGGGAUCGCUUUAUUGACCUUACUCUCACUGGCCCAAAGCUUUCUAUUCCAGAACAAGUUCUUCUAUUUCACUUUUUUAAGGGCCUUAGUAGGGAAAAUAAGCAAACCCUUCAUGCGGGCUCUGGAGGAUCUUUCCACCACCUGCCCGCUAGUGAAGCUUGGAAUUUGAUUGAUUUAAUGAGUGGAAAGUCUCCUAGCAUUUAUAUCCCUAAGAAAGAGAAAGAACCAGUUCCUAGACAAGAAGAAGAAGUUUCGAUAGCCAAAUCACAACCACUUCAAUCCCAAACUUUAGCUAUCGAUCCUAAACCAUCAAUACCCCAAAAUUCUCCAAGGGAGGAAGGAAUUCUGACCUUAAAUUUUUUAGAUGCUGAUGGUUUAGACUUCUGGUUCCAUAAGAGACCUUCAAGCAGGGAUAAUUCAAAUCCUUGCAAUAAUGGUUCUCUUAAAGAAUGUCCUGGUGAAGAAGUCGAGGAUGACAUAUCAAGUGAAGGAGAGCUAAGCCAUAUAGAAAAUUCUAUCACCUCCCCUUUCCUGAUCACAAGUUCUAAAUGGCUAGAAUGUGUAGAAUGGAUGGAUAAGGAAGAAGCCUUAAUGGAUUCUGACUUUGGCUCAAUUUCAAAUGGUGAGUACUUGACUCCCUUUGAAGAUGAGAUUCAUCCAACUACAGAAGAGGACAUAGGUGAGACCAGUCCAGGAGGAACUCUGAAUAUUCCAAUUAGAGACGAAGAUAACAUUAUUGAGCAUGGAAUUUAUUUCAUAGCUACUUCGUUUACUCCAUGCUCAUAUGAAACAUCUUCCCAAUCUAUUGGUCUCUCCAACAUCACCACAUUUGAGAUCUCCAACCCCCUCUUCAUUUCUAUUUAUAAAAACUUUAAAAGGGCAGUUGUCGAUGCAUAUGUCUGUAAUAAAUAUUGCAGAUCUCGUUGAGUUGAUCUUGAUAUAGGUCAGCGUUGGAGGGGAAACCACUUCGCCGAUAUAAAUUGAUGGUUUCCCAAGGACAAGCUUAGUGUCUUAAAAUAAGCACUGAUCAGAUCGUAACAUGAGCUUCUAAUUAUUUACAACAUUACCUGGUGUAUUGAGCAUAUAAGGAUAAUUGUAAAAAUAUUCCUUUGGGUAUUCUUGUCACUAACCUUUCUAGGAUUGGAGCAAGAAGAUCGGAUGAAUGAUAAGCACAAGGUAUGUCCAACCAAUCAUCAUACAACAUUGAAUUAAAUUCAUCCAAACUUGAAUUUUGCAAAAUUCAAGCUUGGGGGAGUACUUUACAUCCUUUGCCGUGUUGCUAUGCUGGUUGUCCCUACCUUUGAGACAUGCUCAAUUUAUUAAAUACUAAUCACACUACUUCAUCUCCACUUGAGUAGAUCUCUAUAAAUGCUGUCAUGCUACCUUUAUCUAUUUACUAGCAAGUGUUGGUUUGGAAGUACUCACCAUACUUCCAUUGGCAUUUAAAUUAAGCAAGGUGCUUAGGUUAAAUAGCCUUCCUUAAUCUGAUUAGACAUGGAGUCUAGUUUGGUUACUGAACUAAAAACUACUUGAGUAGAUAUUGGUAUAUUUUGUCGGACUAACCCCUGCAGGAAAACUUUCAAUAUCAACCUGGGAAGUCCUGAGAUAAACUCACAUUGGAGACAAGGAGAGUGUCGGUGUUUUCCCCAUGGGGGGUCACACCAACGAGUAAAUUUGUAUGCGUGCUCCCUUUCCCAGAUGGUGAUGCAAAAAGACACACAAAGAUUUAUCCUGGUUCGGGCAAGAGAAGGCCCUACGUCCAGCAGGAGGAGGGAGAGUUUGUAUUAUUCUGCACCUAAGUGCUUGUACAGGGGUGAAUACAAGCGUGGUAUGGAAUGAGAUGGAGUAUGGGAGUUCUGCUGAGUAUGGGUGUAGUGUUGCGUGGUGAUCGUGUAUGUAUAUUCCCGUGUCUCCCCUUUUAUAGCUCCAAGGAGAGACCUAGGGUACAUGUAUAGGUGUCAGAGUUGGGGUCGAUAGAGGCAUGGCGCGCUGACCUACUCGAGGCCUCCGUACAGGCGUGGUCUCGAGCCGUCCCGUCUCGGUAGCUUGAUGAUGCUUACGCGUGCCCCUGUAUCCUGCUCUGCGUGCCGUCUUGGGCUGGUUCAUCGGUCGCGCGCCUGUACGGUAUAGCGGCAGAUCCGGUGGAGUGGUUGCGGUGUUGUCAGUCGACGCCCAACUCUUCCCCAGGAAGGAAUCAUGUCUGGUCGAGGGUUAGACGCCGUGCAAUGCCUUGUUGUUCAAAGCGUUGACUUUGGGUGUCUCGAGGGGGUCCCGAUUAGACACUCCAUCCCCGCUUUCUGUGUCCCGGUACGCUCUGGGUCGUUUGGUGGGGAAAGCUGCAAAAAGAAUGAUGGGACGGGUGCUUAUUCCCUAUCACGCUUCCCGUGACCAGCGUGUUAGGUGGGAAAGCGGCAGGCGCAUUUAAUGUCCUGGCUCUCAUGCGCGUCUCAGGCGGCGGACAGUGUCCUUGCGCUCGACGCCUCCCGAUUCGCUCGAGCCUAUUUCCGUAUUCGACGGUAGUUAGCGCUCGACCCCUGAGUGGUUCGCUCGACGUUGUUUCCGUCUUUGAGGCUGCGGCCGUCGAUGACCGCACGGCUUAUUAGGGCGUCGAGUUUGAGGGCCUCGAUCUAUGCAUGGGUAAUCUCGUUCUGUGCAUCUGUUAGGGUACCCCUUACUGAUACCCUCAACAGAGAGAGACACAUGAAGUUUAACAAUUUACACAAGGAAGACGUAGCUCAUAAGAGAUGAUCCAUGGAGGGUGCCACAAACACGAUGCACAACCACUAAGAAAGGAAAGCUUCCACAAGGUGAUACUGUACCGUCACUCUUCAAGUAAGGUAACAUUUUAAGGUACUUGACUAUCACUUUUAUAAGCUUCUCCUUGGUUCUGGCGUUCAUAUAAAUAAAGAGACAAACAUGUAUGAUUUAUAACUCCAAAUUAACCAGCCUAACUAAUUCAGCAUGUUUAGUCCUUUAAUCUUUGUUCCUAGAACUACCUCCAUGAUCCCACACUCCUAAUCAUAUGAGCUAAAAUGUUGCACAUUCAAUCUUUGGGAAGAUAUAAAGAAAAAGACAUAUACAUAGAUAGAUUAUCUUUCCAUAAGCUUGAGCGAUCUGGUCUAACAAAUGUUUUAAAUUCUAGACUCAUGAUCUUAUUAUCCAUCAACUUUCUCUUGCCCACUAUGCUUAAGGUUAGAGAAGAACAAAUACACUUUUGGUUCUGUUGGUGUUUUCCACCAACAGGGCCCAUGCACUUGAUCUCUGCGUUGUCUCUAUGAGCAGGAACACUUGGAGCAAAACAUGGUAGAGUUUUACAACUCCCAGAUUCCACCAAGUGAAGGACCCGGAUCUACGAGCACAAACACACUAAGCAGGAUGCUGCCAACGCCGCACUUCGAACUGCUAGGCAAACAAAGAACAUGGGUGACACCGUAUCAAGAGGUGCAGACGUCAAGGUCCACACUUGAAUCAAAUGACGCACCUAAAGAAUGAACACAGUGAGAAGUAUUGUUCAGAAGACUUAAAACAUUGGAUCCUUACCGAAAGGUAAAAUCGGUAUUUAUCCAUAUUUAUCUUUUCUGCAUUCCUUUUCCAUUUUUUAUUCCAUCACUUGCAUUAGCAUAUUUACUUUUCCACAUUAGCAUUAGAAAAGAAAACAAAAAAUAUUUGUUCAUUGCACUGCAUCAUAAAAUCUAAAGCUAGAUGAAAGUAGACUUGUGGUUUAAAACCCAUAGGUAUAUUGAUUGUGGUGGCAUAAAAUAAAUAUGUUUUCAUCUUACAAUAAAAAAAUAAUAAGUGCAUGACCCUGCUAAAUAAAUAAAAUUUAUUAGGAGGAAGCUCAACAUGAUAAAGGCAAAGAGAUUUUUAUGCUAACACUUAACUAGUUCCAAAAAGCUUUGUUGUCUAUUUGAGCUCCACAUCAUUCAAGGAUCAAAGAAGACUAGCAGACGGAGGACAUCGUAAUCGAUGUCAGGGUACUGCCGACAUUCAAAUACACCUCUGUCACCUACUAGCUACAUCAGAAGAAAAUACGUCAAAAUCUAGCUUGGGGGAGAGCACCCCCAUUUAUCCAGCUAAGUGUUUCUACUCAUGUUUAUACUUUACUCAAAUAAUAAAAAGAUGCAUAAUCAUAAAAACCUAAAUAAAGAUUUUGUGCUUAUAUAAAUAUCUUUGCUUAGUUUGCUACAUAAAUAAAUAAAUAAAGUUUGCUAUGAACCCUUAUGAUAAGCCCUCACAUGGAAACAAUGAAUAGUUGCUCUGCCUAGUUCUCAAAAUUGAAAUCUCUCUCAAGUUCAGGCAUGACUGUUAUGAAUUAAGAUUUGCUCUAAACUUGAACUUCUGGGAAGAGUACUUGAUCUAAAGUCUAAGUCGUUAACGGAUACGAUGUGGGAAGGUUGAGCUGCUAUUUAUCUGUUCCUAGAGAUGCUAGAAUUCUGGAGAAUUUUAUCUUUGAAAAAUAUUUAAAAUGUUGCAUGAUGAGUUCCUGUAUGAUGAGAGUUUAAAAUCCUACCACAGCUACAUAUACAUGCUUAUUAGACUAUGAACCAUACAUUUACUUUUUACUGCUUAUGAGCAUUGAGUGUGGUCAAGCUGUGUAGACCCUUAGGAGCUUGUCAUGCGGUUAAAAUCAAGAUUCACUUGCACGUUCACUCAUACAUGCUGCUUCUACUCCGGAAGUACGCAUAUACAUACAUCCAUUCAUUUCCAUCUCCAGAUUUACCCAAAAUUAUUCUACUCCUAUCCAGGAGAGAAUAGCCAAAAACAUUAUCCUAUCCCUGUUAUUCCCCGUGAAAUAAAUGCUCGAGAUAUUUUGGUUACUACCACUUGCUACAUUAUUCCAGGAGGGUGAGUGCUCUGAAAAAAGUGAAUACGAGGAAAGAAAAAGGGGCAAGUGCCCGGAACCUCAAAGAAAAGAAAAAGUGAGACGAGAGGUAAAAAUGGACAAGUGUCCGACAGUAGAAUUAGGGUUACAAGAUACCCACCUGAGAGAAAAGAAAAAGAAAAUAUAGAGCAUCUCAUUCCUCUCAAAAACCUUCAAAGUGCAAGAAAGGUAUGUAUCCCUUCAAAAGAGCAAAAGUAGAAUUAGACUUUCACCAUUAUUUUCACCAUUAUCACCAUCAUCACCAUACACCAUUCAUCCGCCACACAUGCACAUCUUGAUUUGACUUAUUGACUUGUUUCUCUGGAUCCAUGGUUUGACUAUGCAAUAAAUGUCUUGUAAGUAUGUAUUAGCUGUCUCCCACCUAUGAGCUCCAGAUAUCAAAACCUUGUUAGAGUAG